GGUUAAGCGACUAAGCGUACACGGUGGAUGCCCUGGCAGUCAGAGGCGAUGAAGGACGUGCUAAUCUGCGAAAAGCGUCGGUAAGGUGAUAUGAACCGUUACAGCCGGCGAUGUCCGAAUGGGGAAACCCAGUGCAAUUCGUUGCACUAUCGUUAACUGAAUACAUAGGUUAACGAGGCGAACCGGGGGAACUGAAACAUCUAAGUACCCCGAGGAAAAGAAAUCAACCGAGAUUCCCCCAGUAGCGGCGAGCGAACGGGGAGCAGCCCAGAGUCUGAAUCAGCUUGUGUGUUAGUGGAACGGUCUGGAAAGUCCGACGGUACAGGGUGAUAGUCCCGUACACCAAAAUGCACAGGCUGUGAACUCGAAGAGUAGGGCGGGACACGUGGUAUCCUGUCUGAAUAUGGGGGGACCAUCCUCCAAGGCUAAAUACUCCUGACUGACCGAUAGUGAACCAGUACCGUGAGGGAAAGGCGAAAAGAACCCCGGCGAGGGGAGUGAAAAAGAACCUGAAACCGUGUACGUACAAGCAGUGGGAGCACCUUCGGGUGUGACUGCGUACCUUUUGUAUAAUGGGUCAGCGACUUAUAUUCUGUAGCAAGGUUAACCGUAUAGGGGAGCCGCAGGGAAACCGAGUCUUAACUGGGCGUUAAGUUGCAGGGUAUAGACCCGAAACCCGGUGAUCUAGCCAUGGGCAGGUUGAAGGUUGGGUAACACUAACUGGAGGACCGAACCGACUAAUGUUGAAAAAUUAGCGGAUGACUUGUGGCUGGGGGUGAAAGGCCAAUCAAACCGGGAGAUAGCUGGUUCUCCCCGAAAGCUAUUUAGGUAGCGCCUCGUGAAUUCAUCUUCGGGGGUAGAGCACUGUUUCGGCUAGGGGGUCAUCCCGACUUACCAACCCGAUGCAAACUACGAAUACCGAAGAAUGUUAUCACGGGAGACACACGGCGGGUGCUAACGUCCGUCGUGAAGAGGGAAACAACCCAGACCGCCAGCUAAGGUCCCAAAGUCAUGGUUAAGUGGGAAACGAUGUGGGAAGGCACAGACAGCCAGGAUGUUGGCUUAGAAGCAGCCAUCAUUUAAAGAAAGCGUAAUAGCUCACUGGUCGAGUCGGCCUGCGCGGAAGAUGUAACGGGGCUAAACCAUGCACCGAAGCUGCGGCAGCGACACUAUGUGUUGUUGGGUAGGGGAGCGUUCUGUAAGCCUGCGAAGGUGACCUGUGAGGGUUGCUGGAGGUAUCAGAAGUGCGAAUGCUGACAUAAGUAACGAUAAAGCGGGUGAAAAGCCCGCUCGCCGGAAGACCAAGGGUUCCUGUCCAACGUUAAUCGGGGCAGGGUGAGUCGACCCCUAAGGCGAGGCCGAAAGGCGUAGUCGAUGGGAAACAGGUUAAUAUUCCUGUACUUGGUGUUACUGCGAAGGGGGGACGGAGAAGGCUAUGUUAGCCGGGCGACGGUUGUCCCGGUUUAAGCAUGUAGGCUGGUUAUCCAGGCAAAUCCGGAUAAUCAAGGCUGAGGUGUGAUGACGAGGCACUACGGUGCUGAAGUAACAAAUGCCCUGCUUCCAGGAAAAGCCUCUAAGCAUCAGGUAACAUCAAAUCGUACCCCAAACCGACACAGGUGGUCAGGUAGAGAAUACCAAGGCGCUUGAGAGAACUCGGGUGAAGGAACUAGGCAAAAUGGUGCCGUAACUUCGGGAGAAGGCACGCUGGUGUGUAGGUGAAGUCCCUGCGGAUGGAGCUGAGACCAGUCGAAGAUACCAGCUGGCUGCAACUGUUUAUUAAAAACACAGCACUGUGCAAACACGAAAGUGGACGUAUACGGUGUGACGCCUGCCCGGUGCCGGAAGGUUAAUUGAUGGGGUUAUCCGUAAGGAGAAGCUCUUGAUCGAAGCCCCGGUAAACGGCGGCCGUAACUAUAACGGUCCUAAGGUAGCGAAAUUCCUUGUCGGGUAAGUUCCGACCUGCACGAAUGGCGUAAUGAUGGCCAGGCUGUCUCCACCCGAGACUCAGUGAAAUUGAACUCGCUGUGAAGAUGCAGUGUACCCGCGGCAAGACGGAAAGACCCCGUGAACCUUUACUAUAGCUUGACACUGAACAUUGAGCCUUGAUGUGUAGGAUAGGUGGGAGGCUUUGAAGCGUGGACGCCAGUCUGCGUGGAGCCAACCUUGAAAUACCACCCUUUAAUGUUUGAUGUUCUAACGUUGGCCCCUUACCGGGGUUGCGGACAGUGUCUGGUGGGUAGUUUGACUGGGGCGGUCUCCUCCCAAAGCGUAACGGAGGAGCACGAAGGUUAGCUAAUCCUGGUCGGACAUCAGGAGGUUAGUGCAAUGGCAUAAGCUAGCUUGACUGCGAGCGUGACGGCGCGAGCAGGUGCGAAAGCAGGUCAUAGUGAUCCGGUGGUUCUGAAUGGAAGGGCCAUCGCUCAACGGAUAAAAGGUACUCCGGGGAUAACAGGCUGAUACCGCCCAAGAGUUCAUAUCGACGGCGGUGUUUGGCACCUCGAUGUCGGCUCAUCACAUCCUGGGGCUGAAGUAGGUCCCAAGGGUAUGGCUGUUCGCCAUUUAAAGUGGUACGCGAGCUGGGUUUAGAACGUCGUGAGACAGUUCGGUCCCUAUCUGCCGUGGGCGCUGGAGAAUUGAGGGGGGCUGCUCCUAGUACGAGAGGACCGGAGUGGACGCAUCACUGGUGUUCGGGUUGUCAUGCCAAUGGCACUGCCCGGUAGCUAAAUGCGGAAGAGAUAAGUGCUGAAAGCAUCUAAGCACGAAACUUGCCCCGAGAUGAGUUCUCCCUGAGACUUUAAGUCUCCUGAAGGAACGUU
Molecule: ribosomal RNA, 2816 nt
Filed under: Klebsiella pneumoniae
Lineage: Bacteria; Pseudomonadati; Pseudomonadota; Gammaproteobacteria; Enterobacterales; Enterobacteriaceae
Description: partial 23S ribosomal RNA
Rfam family: Bacterial large subunit ribosomal RNA
Source: RNAcentral